AGAGUUUGAUCAUGGCUCAGGACGAACGCUGGCGGCGUUGCUUAACACAUGCAAGUCGAGCGGAAAGGCCCUUUCGGGGGUACUCGAGCGGCGAACGGGUGAGUAACACGUGAGUAAUCUGCCCUUGGCUUUGGGAUAACUACCGGAAACGGUGGCUAAUACCGGAUAUGACCAUGCUCGGCAUCGGGUGUGGUGGAAAGUUUUUUCGGCCAGGGAUGUGCUCGCGGCCUAUCAGCUUGUUGGUGGGGUAAUGGCCUACCAAGGCUUCGACGGUAGCCGGCCUGAGAGGGUUGACCGGCCACACUGGGACUGAGACACGGCCCAGACUCCUACGGGAGGCAGCAGUGGGGAAUAUUGGACAAUGGGCGGAAGCCUGAUCCAGCAACGCCGCGUGAGGGAUGACGGCCUUCGGGUUGUAAACCUCUUUCAGUACCGACGAAGCGCCGAUGAUGGUGGUGACGGUAGGUACAGAAGAAGCACCGGCCAACUACGUG
RNAcentral lists this ribosomal RNA (494 nucleotides) under uncultured bacterium. RNAcentral describes it as "bacterial SSU rRNA". It matches the Rfam family "Bacterial small subunit ribosomal RNA", at positions 8 to 507 of the family's 1533-position model. The record is from RNAcentral.